CUGGUUCAUCUGGUAUGGGAUCGACAAACUGUUACGUACGUAAACUACAAGAAUGUAGAAUAUGUAGAAGGCGUGGCUGGAACUGUUUAUUAACAGCAUCCUCAGGCUCCUUCGUCAUCCUCACCUGCUGGAACUCAAACAGAAUCUGCCUUGAACCAAACGGACUGAACCAGAAAACAGGCUUCAUCAUUAGUGCCUCUGCAGGUAUUUGAACACUGCUGGACUUUCUUUUGGAAGCAGAAACAAAGUGGAAGAAAAAAACUUUCUUCACUUUCUAAUCUAAGCUCACUGCCAUGGAACAUAACACAGCAGAAACUGACACUAGUGGCACCACUGAUACCAGUGAUGGAGCCGAUGGUGAAGCGUUACCAGUAGAGAUUAGACGUGAUGAUGUGAUGAACUCUAUCAUGUACGUGCAACAACACCCACAUUCCACCAAUGCUCAACUAUUCUCUUUCCUGGCUCUACUGAACGCUUAUGUUCCUGAGUCCUACCUCCGGAUGCGUGAGUGUCAGCGGGUCCUUGGACCACCUGAUCCCAUCCACGGAGGCCCUCCUUUUGAAGAAAGAAUGAGGCCUUUUGCUGUCUUCAUCAACACAUCCAGUCCUGAUGAAAUACGCAUCAUCAACCCAGAGAUUGCACAGAAGAUUGUCGAUGAACUGGCAACCUUGAAGAUUACCAGAAGUACUACAGUGAAGAAAUUCAUGUCUUUACUUUGUGAAA
This is a long non-coding RNA of Stegastes partitus (bicolor damselfish), 723 nucleotides long. RefSeq lists it as uncharacterized. The record is from RefSeq and is a predicted model, not a curated record. The transcript has 3 exons. NCBI's taxonomy places the organism in Eukaryota, Metazoa, Chordata, Actinopteri, Pomacentridae.